GACUCUCGGCAACGGAUAUCUUGGCCCUUGCAUCGAUGAAGAACGUAGCGAAAUGCGAUACUUGGUGUGAAUUGCAGAAUCCCGUGAACCAUCGAGUCUUUGAACGCAAGUUGCGCCCGGGGCCUUCUGGCUGAGGGCUUGCCUGCUUGGG
Molecule: ribosomal RNA, 151 nt
Filed under: Triglochin scilloides
Lineage: Eukaryota; Viridiplantae; Streptophyta; Magnoliopsida; Alismatales; Juncaginaceae
Description: 5.8S ribosomal RNA
Rfam family: 5.8S ribosomal RNA
About the family: 5.8S ribosomal RNA (5.8S rRNA) is a component of the large subunit of the eukaryotic ribosome. It is transcribed by RNA polymerase I as part of the 45S precursor that also contains 18S and 28S rRNA.
Source: RNAcentral